ACGCUCGACACCUACGGGGAGGCAGCAGUGAAGGAAUAUUGGUCAAUGGGCGCUAGCCUGAACCAGCCAAGUAGCGUGAAGGAUGAAGGCUCUAGUGGGUACGUAAACUUUCUUUUAUAAUAAGAAAUAAAGUGCAGUAUGUAUACUUGUUUUGUAUGUAUUAUAUGAAAUAAGGAUCGGACUAACCUCCGUGUCAGCACGCCGGACGGUUAACUCUGGACGGCGGGCGUCGGACGAAGGC
RNAcentral lists this ribosomal RNA (241 nucleotides) under uncultured bacterium. RNAcentral describes it as "partial 16S ribosomal RNA". The stretch from base 1 to 213 matches the Rfam family "Bacterial small subunit ribosomal RNA", at positions 328 to 537 of the family's 1533-position model. The record is from RNAcentral.